GGCUCUCAAGAAGUUGGCUAACAUUCUCUCCGAAGAGAAGCAGCUUCGUGAAGGUAGAUCAGCACAAGGACAAGUUGAUGCUCCUAAAUGAAGAUACAGAAUUGAUUAAUUUCCGUCUGCUAAUAAUAAAAAAGAGUUGAAUAAAUUUCUUGUGAAAAGCUCUAUUGUGGAGCAUAUUCUUCUAAUGAAACCAUAUCGCACGUGGUAG
Molecule: unclassified non-coding RNA, 208 nt
Filed under: Hevea brasiliensis (rubber tree)
Lineage: Eukaryota; Viridiplantae; Streptophyta; Magnoliopsida; Malpighiales; Euphorbiaceae
Source: RNAcentral